UCGUGAGGCCUGUGAGUGUCUAGGGUUGUCCUGGGUGCCUGGGGCUGACUGUGGCAGAAAUCUGGGGAAGGCUGGAGAGAAGCUGGGAGACCCAGGAGAGUCCCUGAAGGCAGGGGGUGAAGAGGUGAAAGAAAUGGGGGAGGGUUGCAGUAAGGUCCGUGAGUUUGUAGGUGAUUCCUGGGUGCGGGAAGCUGACUCCAGGUGAAAUCUGGAGAUGGUUGGAGAGUAGCUGAGAGAGACAGAAGAGUACCUGAGGGCUGGGGGUGAGAACAUGAGGGAGACUGGGGAGUAAGUCAGUGAAAUUCGUG
Molecule: long non-coding RNA, 308 nt
Filed under: Homo sapiens (human)
Lineage: Eukaryota; Metazoa; Chordata; Mammalia; Primates; Hominidae
Description: HSALNT0319554
Source: RNAcentral